CAGGAAUUUAAGCCUAUGCUAGACUCCCCAGCUAGAGGAGGGUACACAGGAUGUUGUUUCCCAUUACUUCAGGGACUUGAGUUGUAAUGUUCGUGCAAAAACAGAGUUAGAAGAUUGGGGCUCAUGCAGCAACCCUUAAAAGACCACACUCUAAGUAACAGGGGGACUAAAGAAAAAAACCCCUCAAUGCAAUGACAGUCUGGCCUCUGGAUAUAGAAGGUGUAUAUGGUCGUGGUAGUGGUGAUGGAGUCGGGCUAGGAGAGGAGUGGCAGAGUCUCCCUGGAGAACUGGCAACCACGGGUCUAUAUCUCAGCUGGUGCAAAGCUGGGAGAGCUUAGUCAUAUCCCACCUCCGUCAUUGCCUAUUGGUGUGAAAAAAGAGGAGGAGCUCCUUACUACACAAGAGACCAGCGCUCCUCACGGAGACACCAGGACAGAGGGAUUUAAGCGCAUCUACCUCCUGAAGACUCCCGAGUUAAGGAAGUCUGGCAUGGAAGGGCUGGCUCCCAGAGAGCCUGCUGCCCCCUCUGACAUCGGGCCCUGGAAUCAAGCAGGAGGUGGCAGGAAAUCUGACUGCUGUGGCUGGCCAGGACCUGCUUCUGGGAUUGUCAAGGCUGGGGUAGGAGUGCAGGUUGGCGUUCCCUGGGAGCUGGCUGGGACUAAGAAGAGGCAAGAGAGGCAUCGAGGGUGCAGACUUUAAGGAGACAGUCCGGUGCUGACCCCGCACUUGCAUGAGCCAGAGAGGGAGUGCCUCUGACAGUUUUGUGCCCUGGGCACGUCCCUUGCCUCAUCCAAGUCUUGGCUCUGCCUGGGGUCCAGGGAAGGGGGGCCUGGCAUCACUGCUUCUGCUUCAGAAUGAGGGAGACAACUGUGGUGGCGAAAGGCACACAAGUGUGUGUGGCCCACAUAACAAGGAUCAGUGCUCAGGUCAGAGUCUGCACCUGAUGGGCAGUCCUGGUGGUGCCUGAUUGUGAUGAGCUCCCAGCUGUCUGGCCUUGGGUGGACGAUCAGACCUCAAGGUGCGAUGCAAAAGAAAGCAUGUUCCUUUCUCUUCUUCACUCACAAAGCGAGCUUUGACCCAGAGUGGGACCCAUGAAAAUGUGAAGGCAAGUGUAUUAGUUAUCUAUUGCACCAUAACAAAUUAUCCCGAAAUUUAGUGGCUUAAAAUAACAACAUUUAUUAUGUCACAGUUUCUGUAGGCCAGGAAUCCAGUACGGCUUUCCUGGGUCCUCUGUUUCAGGGCCUCUCACAGGCUGGAAUCAGGUGCCACGUGGGGUAUAGUCAUCUCAGGUUUGACUGGAGAAAGAGCCGUCUCGAGCUUGCUCAUGUGCCUGUUGGCAGGAUUCAGUUC
This 1350-nucleotide long non-coding RNA is filed under the name Equus caballus (horse). Its description in RNAcentral is "lncRNA (ENSECAG00000046520.1)". The record is from RNAcentral. Lineage: Eukaryota; Metazoa; Chordata; Mammalia; Perissodactyla; Equidae.